GAUGAACGCUGGCGGCGUGCCUAAUACAUGCAAGUCGAGCGAACAGACGAGGAGCUUGCUCCUCUGACGUUAGCGGCGGACGGGUGAGUAACACGUGGAUAACCUACCUAUAAGACUGGGAUAACUUCGGGAAACCGGAGCUAAUACCGGAUAAUAUAUUGAACCGCAUGGUUCAAUAGUGAAAGACGGUUUUGCUGUCACUUAUAGAUGGAUCCGCGCCGCAUUAGCUAUUUGGUAAGGUAACGGCUUACCAAGGCAACGAUGCGUAGCCGACCUGAGAGGGGUAUCGGCCACACUGGAAUGGGAACAGGGUCCGAACCCCGAGGGGGGGAAGAGGGAGGGAAUUUUCCGCAAUGGGCGAAAGCCUGACGGGACAACGCCGGUGGGGGGAAGAAGGUUUUCGGAACGAAAAACUCUGUUAUGGGGGAAAAAAAAAUGUGAAAGUAACUAUGAACGUUUUGACGGUACCAAAAAAGAAAGCCACGGCAAACUACGU
This 496-nucleotide ribosomal RNA is filed under the name uncultured bacterium. Its description in RNAcentral is "partial 16S ribosomal RNA". It matches the Rfam family "Bacterial small subunit ribosomal RNA", at positions 28 to 506 of the family's 1533-position model. The record is from RNAcentral.